Molecule: ribosomal RNA, 428 nt
Filed under: uncultured bacterium
Lineage: Bacteria
Description: bacterial SSU rRNA
Rfam family: Bacterial small subunit ribosomal RNA
Source: RNAcentral
UGGGGAAUAUUGCGCAAUGGGCGAAAGCCUGACGCAGCAACGCCGCGUGCGUGAAGAAGGCCCUCGGGUCGUAAAGCGCUAUAAAGUGAGAAGAGCAGGUAGGAGUUAAUAGCUUCUGCCCCGACGGUAUCACUAGACAAAGCACCGGCUAACUCCGUGCCAGCAGCCGCGGUAAUACGGAGGGUGCAAGCGUUGUUCGGAAUUAUUGGGCGUAAAGGGCGCGUAGGCGGGUUCUUAAGUCUGAUGUGAAAUCCCUCGGCUCAACCGAGGACGUGCAUUGGAUACUGGGAACCUUGAGUCCUGGAGAGGAAAGCGGAAUUCCAAGUGUAGAGGUGAAAUUCGUAGAUAUUUGGAGGAACACCAGUGGCGAAGGCGGCUUUCUGGACAGUGACUGACGCUGAUGCGCGAAAGCGUGGGUAGCAAACAGG